Molecule: ribosomal RNA, 403 nt
Filed under: uncultured Eubacteriales bacterium
Lineage: Bacteria; Bacillati; Bacillota; Clostridia; Eubacteriales
Description: bacterial SSU rRNA
Rfam family: Bacterial small subunit ribosomal RNA
Source: RNAcentral
GAAGUCUGAUGGAGCAACGCCGCGUGAGUGAUGAAGGUUUUCGGAUCGUAAAACUCUGUUGUAAGGGAAGAACCAGUACGUCAGGCAAUGGACGUACCUUGACGGUACCCGAGGAGGAAGCCCCGGCUAACUACGUGCCAGCAGCCGCGGUAAUACGUAGGGGGCGAGCGUUGUCCGGAAUUAUUUGGCGUAAAGGGUGCGUAGGCGGCUGAACAAGUCAGAUGUGAAAGGUUAAGGCUUAACUUUAAUAAGCAUAUGAAACUGUUCAGCUUGAGUUAAGGAGAGGGGAGUGGAAUUCCUAGUGUAGCGGUGAAAUGCGUAGAUAUUAGGAGGAAUACCAGUGGCGAAGGCGACUCUCUGGACUUAAACUGACGCUGAGGCACGAAAGCGUGGGGAGCAAACA